ACCAUAUGGUUAAUACCCAUAUGCGAUGACAUUAGCUGCAGAAUAAGCACCGGCUAACUCUGUGCCAGCAGCCGCGGUAAUACAGAGGGUGCAAGCGUUAAUCGGAAUUACUGGGCGUAAAGCGAGCGUAGGUGGCUUGAUAAGUCAGAUGUGAAAUCCCCGGGCUUAACCUGGGAACUGCAUCUGAUACUGUUAAGCUAGAGUAGGUGAGAGGGAAGUAGAAUUCCAGGUGUAGCGGUGAAAUGCGUAGAGAUCUGGAGGAAUACCGAUGGCGAAGGCAGCUUCCUGGCAUCAUACUGACACUGAGGUUCGAAAGCGUGGGUAGCAAACAGGAUUAGAUACCCUGGUAGUCCACGCCGUAAACGAUGUCUACUAGUCGUUGGGUCCCUUGAGGACUUAGUGACGCAGCUAACGCAAUAAGUAGACCGCCUGGGGAGUACGGCCGCAAGGUUAAAACUCAAAUGAAUUGACGGGGGCCCGCACAAGCGGUGGAGCAUGUGGUUUAAUUCGAUGCAACGCGAAGAACCUUACCUGGUCUUGACAUACACAGAAUCUUGUAGAGAUACGAGAGUGCCUUCGGGAAUUGUGAUACAGGUGCUGCAUGGCUGUCGUCAGCUCGUGUCGUGAGAUGUUGGGUUAAGUCCCGCAACGAGCGCAACCCUUGUCCUUAGUUACCAGCGGGUUAAGCCGGGAACUCUAAGGAUACUGCCAGUGACAAACUGGAGGAAGGCGGGGACGACGUCAAGUCAUCAUGGCCCUUACGACCAGGGCUACACACGUGCUACAAUGGUAGGUACAGAGGGCAGCUACACAGCGAUGUGAUGCGAAUCUCAAAAAGCCUAUCGUAGUCCAGAUUGGAGUCUGCAACUCGACUCCAUGAAGUAGGAAUCGCUAGUAAUCGCGGAUCAGAAUGCCGCGGUGAAUACGUUCCCGGGCCUUGUACACACCGCCCGUCACACCAUGGGAGUUGAUUGCACCAGAAGUGGUUAGC
This 991-nucleotide ribosomal RNA is filed under the name Psychrobacter celer. Its description in RNAcentral is "bacterial SSU rRNA". It matches the Rfam family "Bacterial small subunit ribosomal RNA", at positions 445 to 1434 of the family's 1533-position model. Lineage: Bacteria; Pseudomonadati; Pseudomonadota; Gammaproteobacteria; Moraxellales; Moraxellaceae. The record is from RNAcentral.